GGGUUGUGAGGUUAAGCGACUAAGCGUACACGGUGGAUGCCCUGGCAGUCAGAGGCGAUGAAGGACGUGCUAAUCUGCGAAAAGCGUCGGUAAGGUGAUAUGAACCGUUAUAACCGGCGAUGUCCGAAUGGGGAAACCCAGUGCAAUUCGUUGCACUAUCGUUAACUGAAUACAUAGGUUAACGAGGCGAACCGGGGGAACUGAAACAUCUAAGUACCCCGAGGAAAAGAAAUCAACCGAGAUUCCCCCAGUAGCGGCGAGCGAACGGGGAGCAGCCCAGAGUCUGAAUCAGCUUGUGUGUUAGUGGAACGGUCUGGAAAGUCCGACGGUACAGGGUGAUAGUCCCGUACACCAAAAUGCACAGGUUGUGAACUCGAAGAGUAGGGCGGGACACGUGGUAUCCUGUCUGAAUAUGGGGGGACCAUCCUCCAAGGCUAAAUACUCCUGACUGACCGAUAGUGAACCAGUACCGUGAGGGAAAGGCGAAAAGAACCCCGGCGAGGGGAGUGAAAAAGAACCUGAAACCGUGUACGUACAAGCAGUGGGAGCACCUUCGGGUGUGACUGCGUACCUUUUGUAUAAUGGGUCAGCGACUUAUAUUCUGUAGCAAGGUUAACCGUAUAGGGGAGCCGCAGGGAAACCGAGUCUUAACUGGGCGUUAAGUUGCAGGGUAUAGACCCGAAACCCGGUGAUCUAGCCAUGGGCAGGUUGAAGGUUGGGUAACACUAACUGGAGGACCGAACCGACUAAUGUUGAAAAAUUAGCGGAUGACUUGUGGCUGGGGGUGAAAGGCCAAUCAAACCGGGAGAUAGCUGGUUCUCCCCGAAAGCUAUUUAGGUAGCGCCUCGUGAACUCAUCUUCGGGGGUAGAGCACUGUUUCGGCUAGGGGGUCAUCCCGACUUACCAACCCGAUGCAAACUACGAAUACCGAAGAAUGUUAUCACGGGAGACACACGGCGGGUGCUAACGUCCGUCGUGAAGAGGGAAACAACCCAGACCGCCAGCUAAGGUCCCAAAGUCAUGGUUAAGUGGGAAACGAUGUGGGAAGGCACAGACAGCCAGGAUGUUGGCUUAGAAGCAGCCAUCAUUUAAAGAAAGCGUAAUAGCUCACUGGUCGAGUCGGCCUGCGCGGAAGAUGUAACGGGGCUAAACCAUGCACCGAAGCUGCGGCAGCGACACUAUGUGUUGUUGGGUAGGGGAGCGUUCUGUAAGCCUGCGAAGGUGACCUGUGAGGGUUGCUGGAGGUAUCAGAAGUGCGAAUGCUGACAUAAGUAACGAUAAAGCGGGUGAAAAGCCCGCUCGCCGGAAGACCAAGGGUUCCUGUCCAACGUUAAUCGGGGCAGGGUGAGUCGACCCCUAAGGCGAGGCCGAAAGGCGUAGUCGAUGGGAAACAGGUUAAUAUUCCUGUACUUGGUGUUACUGCGAAGGGGGGACGGAGAAGGCUAUGUUAGCCGGGCGACGGUUGUCCCGGUUUAAGCAUGUAGGCUGAUUGUCCAGGCAAAUCCGGAUAAUCAAGGCUGAGGUGUGAUGACGAGGCACUACGGUGCUGAAGUAACAAAUGCCCUGCUUCCAGGAAAAGCCUCUAAGCAUCAGGUAACAUUAAAUCGUACCCCAAACCGACACAGGUGGUCAGGUAGAGAAUACCAAGGCGCUUGAGAGAACUCGGGUGAAGGAACUAGGCAAAAUGGUGCCGUAACUUCGGGAGAAGGCACGCUGGUGUGUAGGUGAAGUCCCUGCGGAUGGAGCUGAGACCAGUCGAAGAUACCAGCUGGCUGCAACUGUUUAUUAAAAACACAGCACUGUGCAAACACGAAAGUGGACGUAUACGGUGUGACGCCUGCCCGGUGCCGGAAGGUUAAUUGAUGGGGUUAUCCGUAAGGAGAAGCUCUUGAUCGAAGCCCCGGUAAACGGCGGCCGUAACUAUAACGGUCCUAAGGUAGCGAAAUUCCUUGUCGGGUAAGUUCCGACCUGCACGAAUGGCGUAAUGAUGGCCAGGCUGUCUCCACCCGAGACUCAGUGAAAUUGAACUCGCUGUGAAGAUGCAGUGUACCCGCGGCAAGACGGAAAGACCCCGUGAACCUUUACUAUAGCUUGACACUGAACAUUGAGCCUUGAUGUGUAGGAUAGGUGGGAGGCUUUGAAGCGUGGACGCCAGUCUGCGUGGAGCCAACCUUGAAAUACCACCCUUUAAUGUUUGAUGUUCUAACGUUGGCCCCUGACCGGGGUUGCGGACAGUGUCUGGUGGGUAGUUUGACUGGGGCGGUCUCCUCCCAAAGCGUAACGGAGGAGCACGAAGGUUAGCUAAUCCUGGUCGGACAUCAGGAGGUUAGUGCAAUGGCAUAAGCUAGCUUGACUGCGAGCGUGACGGCGCGAGCAGGUGCGAAAGCAGGUCAUAGUGAUCCGGUGGUUCUGAAUGGAAGGGCCAUCGCUCAACGGAUAAAAGGUACUCCGGGGAUAACAGGCUGAUACCGCCCAAGAGUUCAUAUCGACGGCGGUGUUUGGCACCUCGAUGUCGGCUCAUCACAUCCUGGGGCUGAAGUAGGUCCCAAGGGUAUGGCUGUUCGCCAUUUAAAGUGGUACGCGAGCUGGGUUUAGAACGUCGUGAGACAGUUCGGUCCCUAUCUGCCGUGGGCGCUGGAGAAUUGAGGGGGGCUGCUCCUAGUACGAGAGGACCGGAGUGGACGCAUCACUGGUGUUCGGGUUGUCAUGCCAAUGGCACUGCCCGGUAGCUAAAUGCGGAAGAGAUAAGUGCUGAAAGCAUCUAAGCACGAAACUUGCCCCGAGAUGAGUUCUCCCUGAGACU
Molecule: ribosomal RNA, 2803 nt
Filed under: Klebsiella pneumoniae
Lineage: Bacteria; Pseudomonadati; Pseudomonadota; Gammaproteobacteria; Enterobacterales; Enterobacteriaceae
Description: partial 23S ribosomal RNA
Rfam family: Bacterial large subunit ribosomal RNA
Source: RNAcentral